AUGUGUGCGAGUCAACGGG
RNAcentral lists this small nuclear RNA (19 nucleotides) under Arabidopsis thaliana (thale cress). RNAcentral describes it as "snRNA_16023". The record is from RNAcentral. Lineage: Eukaryota; Viridiplantae; Streptophyta; Magnoliopsida; Brassicales; Brassicaceae.